This is a long non-coding RNA of Saccostrea cuccullata (small rock oyster), 393 nucleotides long. RefSeq lists it as uncharacterized. The transcript has 3 exons. The record is from RefSeq and is a predicted model, not a curated record. Lineage: Eukaryota; Metazoa; Mollusca; Bivalvia; Ostreida; Ostreidae.
CGUUUCUAGGCCCAGUGAAUCAUAUAUUUGUGAGCGAAGUAAAUGUUCUACAGCUGUAUAUUUUAGAAAAAUAAAACAUUUAUAAUGUGAAGACGUUCAACAGUCCAAAUUACCUGACCUCUCGUGCACCAUUUUCCUCCUCCGAAGAUUCCAAGAUGGGUGGCGGAUAUGAAAACCGGCGCCUUUUUGGUUUGGAUACGUACUCCUGUCCCUGUUUUGAGGAACUCCUGAAACCCCAUCCCAAGGUAUGACAUCACCCAUCCCAUGUGCUUUGCAAGGGGGAAAUUUUGGUCAGGGAACAAAGGUUAAUUUGGGCAAACACGGAAUUGAAGCAAGGAAUACUGCCAUAGGAAACGUGAUGAAGACAGAGAAAAAAGAAAACAGUUGAGAAAA